This 182-nucleotide non-coding RNA is filed under the name Spartobacteria bacterium. RNAcentral's name for it is "6S RNA". It matches the Rfam family "6S / SsrS RNA". Rfam says of the family: E. coli 6S RNA was the first non coding RNA to be sequenced, but its function was unknown until recently. It consists of 184 nucleotides that fold into an extended hairpin structure with a large single-stranded internal bulge. The 6S RNA specifically associates with RNA polymerase holoenzyme containing the sigma70 specificity factor. The record is from RNAcentral. Lineage: Bacteria; Pseudomonadati; Verrucomicrobiota; Spartobacteria.
UUUUCCCUGCUUUGCACGACAGGGGUCUAAGUUCUCCUACCCAACAUGAUGAUCAACGGGAGCUGGCGUUCGUGGGCGGACGGCAUGUCCGAUUUUUCCGGAAUCUCCGGCAAACCUGCGACAGGUUCCCACCUUAUUCCCAUAAGGUCAGGAGAUCGCCCCACCGGCAAGGCGGGGAUUUU